GAUGAACGCUGGCGGCGUGCCUAAUACAUGCAAGUCGAGCGAACAGACGAGGAGCUUGCUCCUCUGACGUUAGCGGCGGACGGGUGAGUAACACGUGGAUAACCUACCUAUAAGACUGGGAUAACUUCGGGAAACCGGCGCUAAUACCGGAUAAUAUAUUGAACCGCAUGGUUCAAUAGUGAAAGACGGUUUUGCUGUCACUUAUAGGUGGAUCCGCGCCGCAUUAGCUAGUUGGUAAGGUAACGGCUUACCAAGGCAACGAUGCGUAGCCGACCUGAGAGGGUGAUCGGCCACACUGGAACUGAGACACGGUCCAGACUCCUACGGGAGGCAGCAGUAGGGAAUCUUCCGCAAUGGGCGAAAGCCUGACGGAGCAACGCCGCGUGAGUGAUGAAGGUCUUCGGAUCGUAAAACUCUGUUAUUAGGGAAGAACAAAUGUGUAAGUAACUAUGCACGUCUUGACGGUACCUAAUCAGAAAGCCACGGCUAACUACGUG
Molecule: ribosomal RNA, 497 nt
Filed under: uncultured bacterium
Lineage: Bacteria
Description: partial 16S ribosomal RNA
Rfam family: Bacterial small subunit ribosomal RNA
Source: RNAcentral